GGUGCUAUAGUGUAGUGGUUAUCACUCGGGAUUUUGAUGCUCUCUCUCCCAAUAAUAUGUCAUAUAUUCCCGAAACCCAGGUUCGAACCCUGGUAGCACCU
Molecule: non-coding RNA, 101 nt
Organism: Lentinus tigrinus ALCF2SS1-7
Lineage: Eukaryota; Fungi; Basidiomycota; Agaricomycetes; Polyporales; Polyporaceae
Source: the annotation of a GenBank genome assembly